GAUGAAGAACGUAGCGAAAUGCGAUAAGUAAUGUGAAUUGCAGAAUUCAGUGAAUCAUCGAAUCUUUGAACGCACAUUGCGCCCGCUAGUAUUCUGGCGGGCAUGCCUGUCCGAGCGUCAUUUCAACCCUCAAGCCCCCGGGCUUGGUGUUGGGGAUCGGCGAGCCUCCGCGCCCGCCGUCCCCUAAAUCUAGUGGCGGUCUCGCUGUAGCCUCCUCUGCGUAGUAGCACACCUCGCACUGGGAAACAGCGCGGCCACGCCGUUAAACCCCCAACUUCUGAACGUUUGACCUCGGAUCAGGUAGGAAUACCCGCUGAACUUAAGCAUAUCAAUAAGCGGAGGA
Molecule: unclassified non-coding RNA, 343 nt
Filed under: soil metagenome
Description: partial contains 5.8S ribosomal RNA, internal transcribed spacer 2, and large subunit ribosomal RNA
Rfam family: 5.8S ribosomal RNA (bases 1-120)
Source: RNAcentral